UACGAAGGGGGCUAGCGUUGUUCGGAUUUACUGGGCGUAAAGCGCACGUAGGCGGAUAUUUAAGUCAGGGGUGAAAUCCCGGGGCUCAACCCCGGAACUGCCUCUGAUACUGGGUAUCUGGAGUCCGGAAGAGGUGAGUGGAAUUCCGAGUGUAGAGGUGAAAUUCGUAGAUAUUCGGAGGAACACCAGUGGCGAAGGCGGCUCACUGGUCCGGUACUGACGCUGAGGUGCGAAAGCGUGGGGAGCAAACAGG
RNAcentral lists this ribosomal RNA (253 nucleotides) under uncultured bacterium. Its description in RNAcentral is "partial 16S ribosomal RNA". It matches the Rfam family "Bacterial small subunit ribosomal RNA", at positions 524 to 776 of the family's 1533-position model. The record is from RNAcentral.